UUAUAAGAGACAGCAGUAGCCACGGGAAUACGUAGGGUGCAAGCGUUAAUCGGAAUUACUGGGCGUAAAGCGUGCGCAGGCGGUUCGCUAAGACAAAUGUGAAAUCCCCGGGCUUAACCUGGGAACUGCAUUUGUGACUGGCGGGCUAGAGUAUGGCAGAGGGGGGUAGAAUUCCACGUGUAGCAGUGAAAUGCGUAGAGAUGUGGAGGAAUACCGAUGGCGAAGGCAGCCCCCUGGGCCAAUACUGACGCUCAUGCACGAAAGCGUGGGGAGCAAACAGGAUUAGAUACCCCCGUAGUCCCUGUCUCUUAUAC
Molecule: ribosomal RNA, 314 nt
Filed under: uncultured bacterium
Lineage: Bacteria
Description: partial 16S ribosomal RNA
Rfam family: Bacterial small subunit ribosomal RNA
Source: RNAcentral